RNAcentral lists this ribosomal RNA (433 nucleotides) under uncultured bacterium. RNAcentral describes it as "partial 16S ribosomal RNA". It matches the Rfam family "Bacterial small subunit ribosomal RNA", at positions 29 to 507 of the family's 1533-position model. The record is from RNAcentral.
AACGAACGCUGGCGGCAGGCUUAACACAUGCAAGUCGAGCGAGACCUUCGUGUCUAGCGGCUGUCGGGUGAGUAACGCGUGGGAACGUUCCCUUCUCUACCGAAUAGCCCUUUGAAACUGGGAGUAAUACCGUAUACGCCCCGUGGGUGAAAGAUUUAUCGGAGAAGUAUCGGCCCGCGUUGGUUUAGGUAGUUGGUGGGGUAAUGGCCCACCAAGGCUACGAUCCAUAGCGGGUUUGAGAGGAUGAUCAGCCACACUGGGACUGAGAAACGGCCCAGACUCCUACGGGAGGCAGCAGUGGGGAAUCUUGGACAAUGGGGGCAAUCCUGAUCUAGCCAUGCCGCGUGAGUGAUGAAGGCCUUAGGGUUGUAAAGCUCUUUCAGCUGCGAAGAUAAUGACGGUACCCGCAGAAGAAGCCCCGGCUAACUUCGUG